UUCAGUUUCCCAUAUUAAUUUUUGCACGCCCUAGAAUAUUCCGCACUGUUCCGGUAGGAAAUAGUGAAAAUGAAAUCUCGGCAAAGAGAGGUGGUAUUUGAAAGUGGACACGAUUCUCAAACUCAGAAUUGGAGAGAAAUUUACAUUUUUGCCCCCAUCAUUUUCAUUUCCUCCGUCACUUUCAUUUCCUUCCGCCUUAGCCAUUCUACGUCGCUGGAGGAGAAGGUGUUUCAUCACGCACGUUCACAAGUUUCACUGGGUGGAGAUUUUCGCGUCGCCAAGAAGGUGUGCUUUGAACGAUUCCGGAUUGAUGGUACAAAGCUGUAUGUCGGCUUGCCACUGGACACCGUCUCCAGCUGCAACUCGAGCAGAUAAGCAAGAACUUGAUGGGUGAAAACGCGGUGGUGAACUUGUUCACAUAUCAAAGAAUGGGUGUGAAGUUCUUCUCCCCGGAGCACUUCCCGCUCUUCAGCGGCCUCAACAAACCGGCUCCGUUGGCCGACGAUUUGGCCAUGGAAGAUGAGGAAAAUGCGGAAUCGCUCUCUGGUAAUGAGUAUGCAGAUGCAGACGGCUUGAAUAUUGAAGUUGCUGUGUAUGUAAAUAUGAUAGUAAGAUUUUGCUCUCUGUUAUAUAGUAGAAAUACUAUGUUGUAAAACCCUUGAUAAAUCAGUUCUAAAACUAUUUUUAGCUCA
Long non-coding RNA from Salvia splendens (bonfire salvia), 692 nucleotides. RefSeq lists it as uncharacterized. The record is from RefSeq and is a predicted model, not a curated record. The transcript has 2 exons. NCBI's taxonomy places the organism in Eukaryota, Viridiplantae, Streptophyta, Magnoliopsida, Lamiales, Lamiaceae.